AAAUUAGAUAAGCAUUUAGCUCUCCUCGGGAGACUCAGUUUAUAGCCAAGUGGAUCCCAUUUGUAGGACGUGGGCUCAGCACACCCUGAAGGCUGACCGGUUGAAAAGGCUUAUCCUGCCCGUCAGGAAAGCAAGAACUCUCAAGUCGACAGUCUAGCUCCUGAGCUCAUAUGUGGACUUAAAUCUCUGGUUAAUGAGAAAGGCCGUUCAGUAAGAAGGUAGCUCCAAUGUACUGGGAAUUAUAAAACUGCUCCCUCAUCAGGCUUCUCUACAUUGGCCUUAGAAGUGACAAACCUUCAGAAAUAGCAGGCACCUACCCGUGGCCCAUCCAAACAAGAAGAUACAUGGGAAGCCCUUUCAUCAGCCCCUGGGACAGCACUGCCUGCCACAAUCGUUGAUCACUCCACGUCAGAAAAUUGAGAGCUGUGAGGCAGGGAGCGGGAGAGAGAAGCAAUGCCAGCUGCUAUGUGGGGAGUCCUUACUAUGUGCCUGGCCCAGGAGGAAAGAACCGGAUGGCUGAUUUCACUUUAUCUUUUCAACAACCCCGUAGAACAGAUACAACUAUUAGCCCCACUUUACAAGUUGAGAAAACCGAGACUUGCCCAUCAUCAGACCAUAUGUCAGACUCUUCACUCUCGUGCCUUGACAGCAUCCAAGACAGGAUUCAGAACAAAUAGCAACAUCCGUCGUGCCUAUGCUGGGUGUGCACUAGAUUAUCUCUGUAGAAAAUACCUUUUAGAAGAUUUUGUAUUCUGAUGCAGUUUGGGUUCUGCAGUGAAGAACAUAGUUCAGUUAUUUCCUAAUUUUGAAGGAAAAGUGUUGGGAAAGAGAGAUGUAAGCUAAGCAAUUUCUGAGCUAAAUCAAAAGGAUGAAUACAAUAUUCUUCAACUGCUUAGUGGAUUUCGAAUCAUUUUACAAAGACUUCACUGAGCGUACCUCAAUUUAGAAGAAUAGCCAUGAGACCUCCAAUUAGAACGAUAAUUAAAUGUCAUUUGGGGACUAGUAACCGAGCCUCGCAACAUUAUCUGAGUUGAUGACAGUGGGGAAGGGAUGAGGUUGCACAGUUCAGCUGCUGGUCACAAAUGCCAGCUGGUCAUUAUACUCCAGUAAAUUUCACGCAUCAAUGUAUUUAUUGCUACUAUAAACUGAAAAUAUGAAAGGAAGGAAAAGUAGAAAUAUAUAUUGAUUGCCUGAUGGGACUUGCAGGGUUAGUCUGAUAGCCAUUAUCCCUAGAUAACAAAUGUGUCUUUUGGUUUUACCCAAUCAAACAUAUUUCAUUCUAUUUCCAAUGUUUUGUGAAGAUGCCUGUACAAUAAAACAUGUACGCAGAAAAUUUUGUAUUUGCUUAUCAAGGUAUGACUUUUUGCCCUGGGGCCGUUUUCAGGUCCCGAACCUCUCUUAUGGUGGAGACGGGGGGCUUUACAACGUGGAAUCUGGAUUUUGAGGGGUUUGGGCAUUUUCCCUGUGUUGGUUUCCUGCAAAAGAUGGGAAUUUGCAGCCAGCUCUUGAGAUACAAAUUGUUUCGCUAUAGUAAGUCUAGAAAUGGUCCUCUUUGGGGGUAAAUUUAUGAGACAACUUUAUAAACAACUUCUUUGUUUAACUUUUAGGUUCUUAGAAAAGAAACACACAGAAAAUCGAAACUUGCCUUUAAUAGAUUUUCUCUUAGGCUAAAAUCUUUAUUGGCGCAUGUUGGGCUCAAGCGCUUAAGCCAGAACUGAGAAUCCAUGGCUUCUCCAUCGGUCUAUUCAGAAAUCAGGAAUGGGAGUAGCACGGCAGGAAAAUGACUACAAAGAUUAGAAUAAGCUUGAGGUUGGGAAAAGCAUUUGAGAACAUCAGGUAAAAGAGGAAAGAAUCACUAUGCUCAUUUAUAAAUAAAUGAGGCAAGCAAGCAUGGAGUUAGGUUGCUGUGAGGCCAGAGAAGAAAAUGAGUUUUGUAUAAAUAGGACGAAGUUAAGGAAGUUAGAACAUUAAGGAAGUGGGAGGAUUCAAGCAGCUCAGCAGCUGUUUCACGGCUUUGCAGGACCUAUUUUGGCAAAUCUGGCAUAUGUGGUCAUGCGUCAGGGUGGACUUUGUGGGGAGGCCUAUAUUUACCAGGUAAGUGACCAGAUGUCUUUGCCAACGUGUAAUGAUUUCUGGGGAAGGGAUUUAGAAAUUCAGGCCAUACCAUUCAAAAUAGGAAACCAGCUCUCUUGCUUUAAAGGAAAUUUAUGGAUAAUUCAAGAUAAGCCAUCUGUGCAAUAAGAAAUACACAUCCUACAGAUGGUGAGAAUUAUAGGACACAUGAUAUUGUUAACAAUAGCAUC
Molecule: long non-coding RNA, 2303 nt
Organism: Equus caballus (horse)
Lineage: Eukaryota; Metazoa; Chordata; Mammalia; Perissodactyla; Equidae
Source: Ensembl